UACGGAGGGUGCAAGCGUUAAUCGGAAUUACUGGGCGUAAAGCGCACGCAGGCGGUCAAUUAAGUCAGAUGUAAAAGGCACGAGCUUAACUUGGGAAUUGCAUCUGAAACUGGUAGGCUAGAGUCUUGUAGGGGGGGGUAGAAUUCCAUGUGUAGCGGUGAAAUGCGUAGAUAUGUGGAGGAAUACCGGUGGCGAAAGCGGCUCCCUGGA
RNAcentral lists this ribosomal RNA (210 nucleotides) under uncultured bacterium. Its description in RNAcentral is "partial 16S ribosomal RNA". It matches the Rfam family "Bacterial small subunit ribosomal RNA", at positions 524 to 733 of the family's 1533-position model. The record is from RNAcentral.